AAAGGAAUAGACGGGGACCCGCACAAGCGGUGGAUGAUGUGGAUUAAUUCGAUGCAACGCGAAAAACCUUACCUACCCUUGACAUGUCUGGAAUCCUUUAGAGAUAGAGGAGUGCUCGCAAGAGAACCGGAACACAGGUGCUGCAUGGCUGUCGUCAGCUCGUGUCGUGAGAUGUUGGGUUAAGUCCCGCAACGAGCGCAACCCUUGUCAUUAGUUGCUACGAAAGGGCACUCUAAUGAGACUGCCGGUGACAAACCGGAGGAAGGUGGGGAUGACGUCAAGUCCUCAUGGCCCUUAUGGGUAGGGCUUCACACGUCAUACAAUGGUCGGGACAGAGGGCUGCCAACCCGCGAGGGGGAGCCAAUCCCAGAAACCCGAUCGUAGUCCGGAUUGCAGUCUGCAACUCGACUGCAUGAAGUCGGAAUCGCUAGUAAUCGCGGAUCAGCAUGUCGCGGUGAAUACGUUCCCGGGUCUUGUACACACCGCCCGU
This 490-nucleotide ribosomal RNA is filed under the name uncultured bacterium. Its description in RNAcentral is "bacterial SSU rRNA". It matches the Rfam family "Bacterial small subunit ribosomal RNA", at positions 903 to 1397 of the family's 1533-position model. The record is from RNAcentral.